GGUAAUACGGAGGGUGCGAGCGUUAAUCGGAAUUACUGGGCGUAAAGCGCAUGCAGGUGGUUUGUUAAGUUCAGAUGUGAAAGACCCGGGGCUCAACCUCGGAAUAGCAUUUGAAACUAGGCAGACUAGAGUACUGUAGAGGGGGGUAGGAAUUUCAGGUGUAGCGGUGAAAUAGCGUAGAGAUCUGAAGGAAUACCGGUGGCGAAGGCGGCCCCCUCGGACAGAUACUGACACUCAGAUGCGAAAGCGUGGGGAGCAAACAGGAUUAGAUACCCUGGUAG
Molecule: ribosomal RNA, 281 nt
Filed under: uncultured bacterium
Lineage: Bacteria
Description: partial 16S ribosomal RNA
Rfam family: Bacterial small subunit ribosomal RNA
Source: RNAcentral